Molecule: ribosomal RNA, 792 nt
Filed under: uncultured Lactobacillus sp.
Lineage: Bacteria; Bacillati; Bacillota; Bacilli; Lactobacillales; Lactobacillaceae
Description: bacterial SSU rRNA
Rfam family: Bacterial small subunit ribosomal RNA
Source: RNAcentral
GAUGAACGCCGGCGGUGUGCCUAAUACAUGCAAGUCGAACGCGUUGGCCCAAUUGAUUGACGGUGCUUGCACCUGAUUGAUUUUGGUCGCCAACGAGUGGCGGACGGGUGAGUAACACGUAGGUAACCUGCCCAGAAGCGGGGGACAACAUUUGGAAACAGAUGCUAAUACCGCAUAACAACGUUGUUCGCAUGAACAACGCUUAAAAGAUGGCUUCUCGCUAUCACUUCUGGAUGGACCUGCGGUGCAUUAGCUUGUUGGUGGGGUAACGGCCUACCAAGGCGAUGAUGCAUAGCCGAGUUGAGAGACUGAUCGGCCACAAUGGGACUGAGACACGGCCCAUACUCCUACGGGAGGCAGCAGUAGGGAAUCUUCCACAAUGGGCGCAAGCCUGAUGGAGCAACACCGCGUGAGUGAAGAAGGGUUUCGGCUCGUAAAGCUCUGUUGUUAAAGAAGAACACGUAUGAGAGUAACUGUUCAUACGUUGACGGUAUUUAACCAGAAAGUCACGGCUAACUACGUGCCAGCAGCCGCGGUAAUACGUAGGUGGCAAGCGUUGUCCGGAAUUAUUGGGCGUAAAGCGCGCGCAGGUGGUUUAAUAAGUCUGAUGUGAAAGCCCACGGCUCAACCGUGGAGGGUCAUUGGAAACUGUUAAACUUGAGUGCAGGAGAGAAAAGUGGAAUUCCUAGUGUAGCGGUGAAAUGCGUAGAGAUUAGGAGGAACACCAGUGGCGAAGGCGGCUUUUUGGCCUGUAACUGACACUGAGGCGCGAAAGCGUGGGGAGCAAACAGG